GUUACCGACACAGCCCACAACUGUCUUGAGUACAAUACUCACCCUGUGUACAAGGAAUGCAAAUGGAUCAUAAAAAUGCAUUCUACUAGCUAAUUAGAGGCAAUCUGAAACGACAGUUAAUGCAUACUUGAUAGUAAUAUAGCGCAUCUUUUCUGUGCUCCUGCAUACAUCUUUGAUUUUUAUUGAGGCAGAGGUAAUUUCAUGGAAAACAAAUUCAAAUAUUCAAGCGUCUAAAAUAACCUGCAGCUAAAGAAUAUGCUCUUUGCGAACAGCUGCGAUCACAUUACAGUUUGAUUAUUAAAAAUAUAUACCUAUAUCAAAAAAAAGUAAAACAAAAGAUUGCUCAUAGUAUUUUAAUCUCUGUACUUCAGCUGAGAGAUGAAGAGGAGUACUGGAGCAAACACAGUUGCUCACAGUGCUCAGUUUGUGUGUACUUUAGUGAAUGAUUUACUGGGUGUGGCCGUGAGCUUACAACAAAUGAAGGGCUUGACGUUUCGCUACAUGGCUAAUGUUUACCUCUUCUGCAGAUCGAGUUGGUGCACUUUUUGGCGGACUAUCACAGUGCUCUUCCUGUUGUUGUCCUGUUUCAACACAGCCAGCACUGUUUUUUUCCCCAACACAAAUUUCAGUGUCACUGUGAUUGUGACACGCUUUAUUUUGAUUAUUGUGUAAUAGUUUAUCACCUGACGUCUUUCUAAUAGGUUCUCUUGUUAGAAGAAACUCUCUGAAGUGUCCAAUCAACGUCACUUAAAAUGAAUUAUUGAUCACAUAUUUAACGCCAGGCUUCUACAGAUAACAGGCUUAGCGUCUUUACGCAUUCAACCCCAUAAAUAAAUGAUAUCAUGUAACAAAUGUGUUGAAUAUAAAUCCUACUCUCCAAUGACAUUGUGAUCUCAUUAUGCAUAUUCUGCAUAUAGAUGAUUAAUUUGUAGAUAAAACAAAAAAAAAGCUAACAACAUUCAACUCUUUGUAAGGAUGACGCACAUCAUGCAUCAGUGUGAUGAAUUCCAAAUAUGAACCUGGAAAUAUAAUUAUAGGGUCCAGAAAAGACCAUCUGUCAUGUGAUUGCGGUGAAGAGUAUUCAAGAUGACAGCAAGAGAGCAAGGAAGGGAGGGGGGGAGGAUUAAAUCUAGGAGUAAAAUCUGGUCUCUUGCCACGAUCAAACACUGGAAUCUUGUUAAGGAAAAACACAACAAUGUUAUCUGCACAGAUUACAAUAAUACUGUCACAAUUAUGGGAGGAUGUGAACGAGAUGUGAACAUCAAAGGUUUAUGCUCAUACAUCCCACCGGGGCCAAUUAGAAGAAUCUUGAAAAGUCACUUCACUUUAAAUAAUGAAAAUAAGCAGUUAACCCAAAUAUCUCCACUCCAAGCACAGAGAGGAACUUUUCAGUACCCCCUUAAUUUAAUGAUAAAGAGCCUUUUUCUUAUUAAUUACAAUCCUCUGAAGAAAUCAAAUACACUUGAAAUCUGGUGUCAAAUGUUGCAAUCAGUCACAUUUUUGGUACUUUUUUUUGUUUAUUCAAAGCGCAUCCUGUCCUCUGUUUAACCCCAGACAGAUAUUUAGCAGUACAGGGAAUUUCUACAGAAAGGAGUCUACCAUGACCAAACUGUUCACAAUGAUGACCCAGGGUGAAUAUCACUUGUUCAGCAGAAAUCAUUUGACUCAUUGCUUAUUUGUAGCUGCAUACCAUUGAAAGGGCGUGAAAUGUAUCAUGGGUUUCCAAACUGUGGAGCAGGGAGAAAAAACUGUGGCCUCAGUUAUCACAACUCUGAAUUACAUUUUCACACUUUUUAAUUAAAAGAAUUGAUAAAAAUAGUAGAGGAGAAAUAUUUCUGUUCAGUUCUGCGGUGCGAAAUAGCAAGCUCAGCUGUCCUGACAUAUGGUGCAUGCAUGCAUGUGUGUGCAUGCCAUAAGGGUUGCACAACAAAAGUACCUUAGCCGCUUUUAAAAUGACAACAAACAAGAAUUUUAGAUAAUUUCUUCAAGGAUUAUCACACCCAUCCUUAUGUAAAGCAACAGCAGUGAUAAGCCCCAUAAUUCAAUAGACCCGUUUGUGUGUCCGCCCUUAUCAGAGCUGCUUGAGCCAUCACUUCCAGUCACUUCUGUAAAGAUGCAAUUAAUUCCAAAGCAGUAGCGUGAAAUUAAUUUAUUGCUUGUAAUUAGUUUUCGGCAUACUGUGAAAACAAUCUCUCCAGAUAGGCUGUUUCUUUUUUUCUGCCUCCACCAGAGAGUCUGAGGACACUUGGCUCCACUGGAGUUCAAUAUGGAGUGCAUGUCUUUCAGCUGCCAAGCUUGCGGGGUUUAGAAACGCCUUAACUCCCUGUUGACAUUGGCCUCAGGAUUUAUGGUCUUAAACCUAUCAUGCAAGAUAUUUUGGUAGCAAUCAACACGAGAAAAAGUGAUCUCUUCGUGGUAUGUCUCAGAAAAACAGAAACCAGGACAUUUAUAAACAGAAUUCAGGUUGUUUGUGAAUAAUUUAAUCACUGAGCGUGCAUGUUUCUGCAUUCAGCAGGCUUCAUUCGGAUUGAAGUGAUGGAUUCAUGAAGCAAACCUAAUUAUGCUUUGUUAAGAAGGACUCUCCUGUCACUAAUCAGAGAUGAUUAAUAUGCACUUUCCUCAGGAAAAGAGGUUAUAAAUACAAGGUGUCGUGCCUAACCAGACCAGUAGGUGUCACACUUACCUCUUUUCUGAGUUAAAGCACAGGCAGUGGAGGCAGCUGGGGGAGGAAUAUUUAUGGAAGGUGGUGGAUUCUAGUCAAGACACUCUCCCUUGUCUGUCAUAUCAAACACCUGAAAUCACUUCAAUUAAGCCGUGAAGGUACGACAGCCUAGUUAAAGUGAAGUGAUGUGACAAUCUGCAGCAGGAGACUCAUCACGCUUUCAUGUGGCAUAUGCCCGACUUCACUGAUAUCAGGCGUCACUUAUCCUGUAAGAUCAGGCUUUUCAACAAUUCCUCCUCAAUCAUUAUAACCGGAGGGAGACGGAAGAUGACCACUGUCCCUGAAUCAGCCAAGAUUAAUGACUGAUUAUUUAAAACUCGCACUAUUUAUAAUUCAAAUUCUCAACCAUCUUCCAAGGAUUUGUGACUACCUCAAAUGACAGGGACACAUGUUUUUCACAACUAUCAAUCAGUCUGCCGAUUCUUUAUGUAUCUCUAAAUCACAACAAAAAAACAGUUUUGUGAUAUUCAAUCCAAAGACCAGAUCUUGGCUGUGCAGAAUUCUGCACUGUGUUAUGUAGUAUGGCUCAAAGCACGUAGAAAAUCUUCCCUGAAACAGGCAAAAUGCUUAAGCAGAACUAGACUCAUUGGUGGAAAGCUAUCUGCCACGAAUGUCCAUGUGAUGUAUGUCAUGAUUGCUCCAUAAAAGUGAAGUCAGCCUUUUCCUGGAGCUCCUCCUAGUGACUCAAUGCAAUGUGUCCACCUCCUCUAUGUCAACAGAUCGAACAAACUGUCAAAACAACACACACAUCAAACAGUUCCUCCAUACACUAGAGUUUAUUCUUUUCAUCCUGAUUUACAUCCAGGUGUCAGGAAACUAAAAAAUACAUUUACGGGUUAUUUCAUCCUUUAAAGAGCGGUGUGUGACAAAUACUGCAAUCCUGUUGGACUGUGUGCAGUGAUUUAGCAGAACGACACAGGGAACAGCAGGAGGACACAAAGCAAGGUUCACUGAACUUUAAGUAUGAGUGUCUGUUUUAAUGAUGUAGACUGUGCUGACCUACAGGACCAGUGCUGUUUUGAUAAAUUGGUGUUUGUUAGCAGAAAAGGAGGGAUAUGAAUACUGUGACUUGACCAGCGGACCCCUACUGCACAAAGUCUCCUAAUGAUGUCACAAGCGAAAUAUAUCAGGGUGGUAUUUUGGCUUUGCUUUGUCGCAAUUUAAGUGGGUGGAGAAGUUGUCCUUUUUUUCUUUUUUUUUACAUAAUCAGAGACUGUGUCCAUUAAAGCCUUUUUUUUUGCUGGCAGCACCAACAACCUCAAUGUCAGAUGGCGACUUAUCAGCUGAGAAGCAUUUUGUUGCAGGGUUACCAAAGUUUUUGGCAUCACUUUCGCUUUCCUUUGUAGUCACCGUUUGGUCUGUCGCUCCAUAUGUUUCAUAUUUGCUUUCGUUUUACGGACAAACACCUUAAACAAGCAGAGCCGGCCCAAGGCAUAAGCGAACUAGGCUCCUGCUUUGGGCCCCAUGGCCAGUAGGGGGCCCCCAAGAACAACCAAAAAAUUUUUUUAAAAAAUUUAAUGUUUUUAAUUUUUUGCAUGUAUGAGUGAUGCUUUCUGUAUGAUCCAAUAUAAAUUAUUGUAACAAUAAAACAAAAUACAAUGCGUCCCGGGUGAAGAUAGAAGACUGACACAACAGCAGACUGACUGUUUUUCAGUUCUGACACUAGUGUUGAGAUGGCAGUCUGUGUUUGAGACAGUGAAAAUACAUAUGGUAUGUUGUAUCUGAACAGGUUAGCUUACGAGCUAAAGUUAAUUAGCACAGAUGAAAGUUAAAACAAACAGCAAUCUGUUUUCCGACACGAAAACAAUCAGCCGGUCGGCCAUGUUGGAUGUACUGGUGAACCGCAACAAUAUGAAAUCUGAUGUGAAGGCUUGUAUUGACUUGAUAUGGGUUCGAAAAAAAAUAUUGACAUCUGAAAUAAUCGCACGAAAAAAAAUUAAAAAAAGAUAUGUCAAAGCUCCGCUACGGUUAUGUGCCUCCUGCUGUGCAAUGUGCACCGAGCAUCCAAAGUGCAGGUAGUUGUGGGGCAAAACAAUGUCACUAAAAGGACAUAUCCUUCAGGAGCAGAGAAAAGAAAGAGGAAGAAGAAGGAGAAGAGAAAAAACGUCAAGAUAAAGGUAUGUAUGAGAUUUGUGAAGGUGUGUGAAUGAUCAACAAUCAAUAUUCCUGGCAGAGAUAGAGGGCCACAAAAUCAAAGUUUGCUUAGGGCCCCAUUGAGGCUCUGUAAACGAGUUUCAGUCAUGUCAUAGCAGUGGUAGAAGCCCUGAACCCAGAAGAAAGACCUACACCUAAAGUCCCGCCCCUUCUUCAUUGGUGAGCAGAAAGUGACAUAGAUGAGCUCAGUGAGAAAAAAUUGCCAAUACUAAUUAGGUUUUUCACAAAAAACACUGAACUACAUUUAGUUGGAAUAGAAAAAAAGCACAAAAAUUAGACAAAUUGGUCGACACAGCCUUACAAUGACUAGAACAUACUGCUCUUAUUCUGCAUUCACUCUACACCAGCAGAAACUACUUACUACAUUGUUUGAAGGGUUGUAUUAUUCCUGAAAUUUCUGUCCACCUCCUUCACACUCAGUUGAAAUGUGCGGCUCACAUAUUAAUUAGAUGAAUCUGUUAAGCAGCAGAGAGCCUCAGCGAGACAUCUGCUUCUUAAUUAGUCAAAAGGAUUCAAGUCACAAAGACUGGAAAGAAUACCUGUCUUAAUGCUAAAUGAGCUCAUUUGAUUAAAUCCAUGAUUAUUUAACACAAGAAUCUCUUUAUACAGUGUAAAUAUUAAUACAUCACAUAUUUUCUACAGGCUGAAUGAAGCUUAGCAAAAUGCAGAUAGAGCUUUAUUUGGAUUUUUCAAUCUAAUUCACUGCUUUUUCAUUUUUUAAGGGUUUUUAGCGAGUUUCUCCACCAUGACAUGUGAUAAUUAUCUCCCAGAUCUGAUUAUCAUUGCAGCUCAGGAAAGCUAAUUAAUGGACUCAUCCUUGUAAUGAUUGUGUGAAUCAAACUGUCAUUUCCCCCCUGGGUUUAAAUGACAGGUCUAAAAAAAAAUAUUACAGAGUGGAAAUCUUUUUGAACACAAGGACAUGUAUGACGCACGAUACUGAAAGCAUAGACAGACAAAUAAGAGGGUAAACUUCCUGGUAAAUUAUCGGGACAUAACAGUUUCUUCAAUUUAUUUUCUGUUGACCUAUUUUCCCUGCAAAUGUUUAAUGGCAAAACAUACAGGAAAGCAACAGACAGCACAAGAUUAAAGCUUUACUUUCAUCUUAUUUCUUCUAAUGAGAGAGGAACACUGGAGGACGAGGCUGCUCAUCAUCAAGUGACCACCACAGUGAAGCGGAAAGCCUCUCAGACUCAUUACUGCACAAACGCACGGCUGAGGUUGACCGCCGCUGAGGCCUAUUCAUCUCCACAAGCCCACCUCUGAACCACAUCAAGAGACUGCGGUUGAAAAUAUCUGCUUAUGUUUGUCUCCUAAGCACAAGCAUUGAAGUGCAAUAAACCAGAGGUCUUAGUGCAGGAAUUGUAAAGUACUACUCUCAUUCCUUAAUGUUAAUCCUGCUAAGGUUCGCCCCAAUUCGCACUCAGGUUAGGUGGUUAGGGCGUUGAACAACAUGCUGAGAAAAAUUCACGGCUUGUCUCGGUCUUGCUGGUGCGAAAACGCUCCUGCGACUACAACAUGUCAAAUAAUCAUUUUAAUAAAAACACUCUGCAAAAGCAAAAAAAAAAGCCGCAAACGGAAAGGUUAAAGGAAAUCUAAAGGGUGUUGUUGGUGCCGGAGAAGAAAGAAAUGUUUGUCACAAGAUGUGCCUGUCUGACUGAAAGCCUCGGUGUGACGUUGUUGUUUGUCACAAGUGCCACACAUUAGCACAGUAGCCCUGGUACAUUCAUCUGACAGAGAGAGGGGGGAAAAAAAGAGGGCCUGACAAAGUGUUAUCUUCUGUAGUAUUCAUAAUCAAAGAGAGCCCUGCAGAAUAUUACUGUCAUGUAUCAGCAACUGCUAGCAUUUAACAGGCAAAACGCAAGGGUUUAAAAGGCGGGGAUCAGCAGAGAGCAGAGGCAGGGGCACACGGGGUUAGACAGGAGGAAUAAACAGGUAGAUUAGGAGCAGAAAGGAGAGAGCCAGAGUGCUUGGCAUGCACACACACAGAGAAGCCAGGCCUUUUUUCAUGUGGCUGUUUGCCGGUUGAUUUUGGGGACUGAUGUUAGGCAUUAAGUCGGAGCAAAGAUUCAGGCUCACUUCGGCUCUUAGUGUGUAACCCCUGUAGUGAAGAUCUAUAAGGCUGAUCAGACCACCUUCUGUGGAAGCUGCCGCUUUUGCCUCACAGCCAAUCCCCAGACCCGGUUCAGAAAAAGACUUCAGCAGACUACAAAACACAGUCUCACACAGAGGUUAUGCCUUGAUAACCACCCAGUCUUAGCGAGGAAUUUAAUUGGCCCGCUGCAUAUUCGACUUCAGGGAAUGUUUUGACACUGUAGGUGUCAGAACAGGAUGAGCCAAAGGUUGGAGCAGUGGAUACAUAGCAUGCUGCCAAAUCUCAGCCCCCUCAGCCCUCUGAGCUCAACGGCCAUAACGCAGAUUUGCAUAUUGAUGAGGAUACUUGCAAAGUUUCUAAUCCAUAAAUUAAGAUUCUAAUGCAAAAAUCAAAAACAAGGAUUAUUGCACUUAAUGUAAACGUGACUAAUUUAAAGGGAGCACUUCUUUUCCUGAUGCUUAUUUCAUGCAUUCAGCGUACAACAGGGAGGGGAAGCAGAUCUGACCACCAGUCUCCGAGGACGUGUAUGGCAAAGUGGGACAAAAUAGGUGGAAAAAAUGCACACAUUGCAUGUGUAUGAGAACACACAGGAAUACAACUUCAUUAUCUCUGAAUACAUAUACCGUCUGUGGUGUCAAAAAAAAUCCAAUACUGCACAGAAGCAAAUCUCUUUCUAAGCCCUGUGACCGCUUUGUUGUUUAUUUAUACCAAAGUGAGGAGAAGUUAAACCACACCGACACCCACUUUACAUGGUGAUCCCUUUCAUGUUCUGAGACCGAGCUCAAAAGACUUUUUUUUUAUACAUAUCCACCAACACUGAUGCCAAGGGAAUACAUUUUAUUGAUUUGCUGUCAGGCUUGGAUCAACAAGGUCCUUUCAGGAGGCUCAGUACAUAACAGCACAGCCGGAAGACUAGCGGAGCACAUAUAGACUAGCAAAUGAUAAUGUUUAGGGUGGAAAACACAGGGUUUGUCUCUUAUGUCUCUUAUGUCUCAUGCAGCUGGUUUUAGAGAGUCUGCACUCUCUGUUUUGUUCUCUUGGCUCGAAUUUUCGAGUAAAUUAGCAGCUGAGUGAGAAAUAGUUUCCCAUCUAAUUUUACUGUGUUGUAAAAUCAGUUCAUCAUCAGUUAGUAUAAUGCGUCCUAUAUCAAAAAGGGUUUCAUUUCCCCUCAGAUAAAGGCCACUAAAUCAUACACACCAUCACUCUUACCUCA
This is a non-coding RNA of Xyrichtys novacula (pearly razorfish), 8181 nucleotides long. Lineage: Eukaryota; Metazoa; Chordata; Actinopteri; Labriformes; Labridae. The record is from the annotation of a GenBank genome assembly.